UGGGGAAUAUUGGACAAUGGGCGAAAGCCUGAUCCAGCCAUGCCGCGUGUGUGAAGAAGGUCUUCGGAUUGUAAAGCACUUUAAGUUGGGAGGAAGGGCAGUAAGCGAAUACCUUGCUGUUUUGACGUUACCGACAGAAUAAGCACCGGCUAACGCUGUGCCAGCAGCCGCGGUAAUACAGAGGGCGCAAGCGUUAAUCGGAAUUACUGGGCGUAAAGCGCGCGUAGGUGGUUCGUUAAGUUGAAUGUGAAAGCCCCGGGCUCAACCUGGGAACUGCAUACAAAGCUGGCAAGCUAGAGUAGGGCAGAGGGUGGUGGAAUUUCCUGUGUAGCGGUGAAAUGCGUAGAUAUAGGAAGGAACACCAGUGGCGAAGGCGACCACCUGGGCUCAUACAGACACUGAGGUGCGAAAGCGUGGGGAGCAAACAGG
RNAcentral lists this ribosomal RNA (429 nucleotides) under Pseudomonadota bacterium. RNAcentral's name for it is "Proteobacteria bacterium partial 16S ribosomal RNA". It matches the Rfam family "Bacterial small subunit ribosomal RNA", at positions 355 to 776 of the family's 1533-position model. The record is from RNAcentral. Lineage: Bacteria; Pseudomonadati; Pseudomonadota.